UUACAGCCAUAUCACACUGAAACACCAGUUGCCGUACGAUCAUCUAAGUUAAGCAACGUCGAGCCUGGUCAGUAUGUAGAAGGGUGGCCACUUGGGAACACCAGGUGAUUGG
Acanthosepion pharaonis is the source of this 112-nucleotide non-coding RNA. The record is from the annotation of a GenBank genome assembly. NCBI's taxonomy places the organism in Eukaryota, Metazoa, Mollusca, Cephalopoda, Sepiida, Sepiidae.